Molecule: long non-coding RNA, 659 nt
Filed under: Calidris pugnax (ruff)
Lineage: Eukaryota; Metazoa; Chordata; Aves; Charadriiformes; Scolopacidae
Description: lncRNA (ENSCPUG00000015690.1)
Source: RNAcentral
AGGAAUGCCUCUCAGCUGAAGGCUGUAAGAUUUAGCUAAUAGUGCCCCAAAUCCUAGCAGAGUGUUCUUUACUCUGAGGCUGUGUCCCCUCAGCUCUUGCUGUGCUGUGGGCAGGAUGAGAUUUAAGUGAAUGAAACCCACCAGUGAGCAAGUGGCAGUGGUGAACUUGCAAACCAAGUUGCCCAGGAGCUAGUGGCUCUGGAGCUCAGCAGUGAGGGGAGCAGCUCAGGUCUGUCGGCUGCCAGAAAACCGUUGUCAAAAGCCAUACCGGCAACCAAACCUACAGAUGAACCUACAGCUCCUGCCCUGUUCUGUUUGAAGGCUUCACUUCUUUUGAUCUCUCUGGGGCAACAGCCUGGCUACAGUCCACGUGUGUUUUUCUACAGCAUCAGAAACCGGGAGCGUCUGUGUCUGAAGGCGUCUGUGUGUCCCCCCCCGGCAGUGCUUGCUGUUGGCUUGAAAUGAAACUGCUCUGAGCUCAGGCAAAUGGCAGGAUGCACAGACAGAAGCGUGGUGAGAGGCUGCUGGUAAAUGUUAAGGGCAUGGGUGAAUGCCAUGGGUUUUUGCACUCACUCACUUGUUUGGGUUUGUUUUUUUUUGUUUUGAUGGACGUGCGGCAUUGCAUUGAGAAGGGCUGAUCUCAGCCUCUGUCAAACAGC